CGAUAGACGGGAGAAAUCGUUUGAGUUGGAAGUUAACAGAGAGGGUUCAAUGGAGAGAAGGAAUUCGCGUAAGAGGAAAGAUAGAGGAGAGAAUGUGGAUAAGAGGAAUGUCGAUGAGAAGAGAGCUAGGGAUUCGGAGGUUAAGAAGGAUAACCUGAGAGUUGGCGAUGUGAAGUUGAUGGAUAAGGAAGAUGUGGAAAUCGAUGAAGAAAAGAAGGGAAAAGGAUGUGAAAUGAGAACUGUGAAGGAAGAACCGAAACCGGAGCCCUAUGACGAUGGACAGGAUGUUGAUACCAUUGAUACUAGUGUAGCAAUGGGAUCAUUCAGUGCAGCAUCAAGGACUUCCCCUGAUAAACCUUUGACUCUUAGUGAUUCUCCUGCUACCAAG
Molecule: unclassified non-coding RNA, 388 nt
Filed under: Hevea brasiliensis (rubber tree)
Lineage: Eukaryota; Viridiplantae; Streptophyta; Magnoliopsida; Malpighiales; Euphorbiaceae
Source: RNAcentral